Molecule: ribosomal RNA, 1021 nt
Filed under: Camponotus sansabeanus
Lineage: Eukaryota; Metazoa; Arthropoda; Insecta; Hymenoptera; Formicidae
Description: eukaryotic LSU rRNA
Rfam family: Eukaryotic large subunit ribosomal RNA
Source: RNAcentral
GGAGGGGGGGUGUUACCCUUGCCUACUUUCCGAAAACGUACGCCAGAGACCGAUGUGCUAACAAGGACCGUGUGGGGAAAGUUGAGAAGAACUUUGAAGAGAGAGUUCAAGAGUACGUGAGACCGUUCGGGGGUAAACCUAAGAAACCCAAAAGAUGGAAGGGGGAGAUUCAUCGUCAGCGACGCUGGCUUCGCGUCGGUGGGCGAUGUUCCGCGGAGUCUUCGCGACUCGCGCGCGGGCACGCUACCGUGCGUCGAUGUCCGGCGCUCGUCGUCGUGCACUUCUCCCCAAGUAGAACGUCGCGACCCGCUGGGUGUCGGUCUACGGCCCGGAUGCGGUGACUGUCGCGUCGCCGGUAAAACGGCACGCGACAAACCUCCGAUCGCCCGGCCGGCUGCUCGGCGGUACGCGCAAGGUAUCAGGCCGCACUCUUUUUAAGAGAUGCGUCGAGACCGUCGCAAGCGCGCGCCACGAUACUAGGAGGUUACGGACUUUGCGCCGUCCCCUGUUCUGGCCCGCUGUUGGUUAAAGUACGGUUCACCUUCGACAGGCCUGCGAACGUCUCUCUCUUUCUCAAUCUCGGGGAAGAAAGGAGACCGAUACCGGUCGGCGACGCUACUGCUUUGGGUACUCUUAGGACCCGUCUUGAAACACGGACCAAGGAGUCUAACAUGUACGCGAGUCAUUGGGACUUGUCGCGAGACCUAAAGGCGUAAUGAAAGUGAAGGUCGGCCCUGGCCGUCGACCGACGGAGGAUAGGCCGCGUCGCGAUGCGUCCUCGCACUCCCGGGGCGUCUCGUUCUCAUCGCGAGAAGAGGCGCACCCAGAGCGUACACGUUGGGACCCGAAAGAUGGUGAACUAUGUCUGGCCAGGACGAAGUCAGGGGAAACCCUGAUGGAGGUCCGUAGCGAUUCUGACGUGCAAAUCGAUCGUCGGAACUGAGUAUAGGGGCGAACGACUGAUCGAACCAUCUAGAACUGGUUUCUUUCCCAAAGAAAAAGAAAAUUAUAUAUUAGCGGG